AGUGUAACUUGCUGCUGACCAGCCCAUUUACACCUGACAUGUUUGAUUUGUGAUUCGUUGCCUCUGUGUAGGAGUUUGAGCUUCCAUUGCAGAGUGAUUCCAUUUGGAUUAUCUAAUGUGAAAUGUGUUCAAAGAAUCACAUCACUGUAGGCUAUGGAUAUGUGCACACAGACUCAGAUGAAGUCUUCUGUCAAUCAAGAACUCUUUUGAUCAUCGACGCCUCCCACAGCUACACACAGCCGUGGAUAUGCUGAUUUGAUCACCCUGGCAACAUCACGAGCCACUGAGGACAAAAACACAAGUUAUUGCUGAAACCUUCCUUGCAUGAACAUAAAUGAACAGCCUGUGUGAACUGCUGUAUGUGUCAUCAGCUGAAAAGGAAACUAGAAAGAUUACAGAAGAUUGAUUGCGGGAUGUGCAAAUGUCUCAAAAGAGUCAGAACGUAGAGGGGCCAAUUUUCCAUGCAUGGCACAGAAAGCACAUCUGGCACGAUAGCAUAUAACUUUGGGCAGAAUGUGAUUGAACCUGGUGCACACAGGCUUUUAAUUGUUCCAUGAGUUCUCAUGUGAUCUGUCCUCAUCAGCUCCCCAUGAGACGGGCUUCAAAAACACCACAAUGACCUCCAAAGGAGAGUCUCCUGGUGGUAUUCUUGGGAAACACGCAAAGGACAAAUGCAUUGGAAAUUUGAGUUAGAAAUAGACACUGUGCUAAAUUAUGUUCUGCUUGUGCUAGAUUAGGUGUCCUGUGGAAAUCUUUGAUUACUACAGUUUGCAAAGCUUGGAAAAGUUCUUCAGUAUUAACAGGUGCAAUGUUAAUAUAUUUCUACAGCCAAUGACGCCACCUCACCUAUAGUAAAGUGUCCGUGAAGCACAUGUUCUCUUGUCUGCUUUAAGCACAGCUGAAACUCAUCUGUGAGUGUUUUUGGCAGUCUAAUGUUGGCCUGUAUCUUGCAUUCCAUUCCAAUUGACCAUAUAGCAUUCUGUUGUCUGAUGAUUGGAACAUAAUGAAUUAAGACACAAAAUGGCAAUGCUGGCAUGUGUUCUGCAAGUGUGUGAUUAUCAGACAUUUGCAGAACAGGUUUUAUUGUGAUUUAAUGACUCAGUGAUGCAUUUUAUGUGCUUAAAAGUGAAUUGCUGGCAUGACAUCAUACACCUGCGGCAUGAGCAUUUCCAAAUUGGAAGUCCAAUUUUAAAUGCUGUUUUUUUGGAUAAUUUAUCCAUUUUAAGUGACAAGUUGGAAAGUCUGACUCAUUUGUGCUCAGACAUGGACAGUGUUUUGCACCAGCCGUGUAGGUGUUUUUCUCAUUCAUUCUCUACACUGAACUCUUUAUUAUAGAACAGUUUGAAAUACAUUAAUAGAUAUGAAUUACAAUCACGACUUUGAUUUAAAGCAAAAAGUUUAAGACUGAGUACUUAAUGUCUUUUAUAAAGAAAUGAACUUCACAGCACAUUUUGGGCUCUAUUGGAAAUAUAUCACUGUUACCUACUGUUAAAAAUCAGCUUAUCUAUGGAGAAAGUAAAUGGGACAUUGUUGUGCUCUUCAGAGAGAUCUGGCCUUGUAAAUAUAAAUAUAAAUAAAUUGUCCAAUUUUCAUCAUGCUCAGUGUU
This is a long non-coding RNA of Cyprinus carpio (common carp), 1606 nucleotides long. RefSeq lists it as uncharacterized. The record is from RefSeq and is a predicted model, not a curated record. Lineage: Eukaryota; Metazoa; Chordata; Actinopteri; Cypriniformes; Cyprinidae.